GCUGGAAUCGCUAGUAAUCGCGAAUCAGAAUGUCGCGGUGAAUACGUUCCCGGGUCUUGUACACACCGCCCGUCACACCAUGGGAGUCGGAUAUGCCCGAAGCCGGUGACCUAACCGCAAGGAAGGAGCCGUCGAAGGUGGAGCCGAUGACUGGGGUNAAGUCGUAACAAGGUACC
Molecule: ribosomal RNA, 176 nt
Filed under: uncultured bacterium
Lineage: Bacteria
Description: partial 16S ribosomal RNA
Rfam family: Bacterial small subunit ribosomal RNA
Source: RNAcentral